This 1306-nucleotide ribosomal RNA is filed under the name uncultured bacterium. RNAcentral's name for it is "bacterial SSU rRNA". It matches the Rfam family "Bacterial small subunit ribosomal RNA", at positions 28 to 1381 of the family's 1533-position model. The record is from RNAcentral.
AACGUACGCUGGCGGCACGCCUAACACAUGCAAGUCGAACGAAGUAGCAAUACUUAGUGGCAGACGGGUGAGUAACAUGUAGGUAUCUGCCCUUUGGCCUGGAAUAACACGAGGAAACUUGUGCUAAUACCGGAUAAGUCUUUACGGAGAAAGCUUUAUGCACCAUUGGAUGAGCCUGCACUUGAUUAGUUUGUUGGUGGGGUAAUGGCCUACCAAGACUGUGAUCAAUAGCUGAUUUGAGAGGAUGAUCAGCCACAUUGGGACUGAGACACGGCCCAAACUCCUACGGGAGGCAGCAGUGGGGAAUCUUGCACAAUGGAGGAAACUCUGAUGCAGCGAUGCCGCGUGAGUGAAGAAGGCCCUUGGGUUGUAAAGCUCUUUCGUCGGGGAAGAAAAUGACUGUACCCGAAUAAGAAGGUCCGGCUAACUUCGUGCCAGCAGCCGCGGUAAUACGAAGGGACCUAGCGUAGUUCGGAAUUACUGGGCUUAAAGAGUUCGUAGGUGGUUGAAAAAGUUAGUGGUGAAAUCCCAGAGCUUAACUCUGGAACUGCCAUUAAAACUUUUCAGCUAGAGUAUGAUAGAGGAAAGCAGAAUUUCUAGUGUAGAGGUGAAAUUCGUAGAUAUUAGAAAGAAUACCAAUUGCGAGGGCAGCUUUCUGGAUCAUUACUGACACUGAGGAACGAAAGCAUGGGUAGCGAAGAGGAUUGGAUACCCUCGUAGUCCAUGCCGUAAACGAUGUGUGUUAGACGUUGGAAAUUUAUUUUCAGUGUCGCAGGGAAACCGAUAAACACACCGCCUGGGGAGUACGACCGCAAGGUUAAAACUCAAAUGAAUUGACGGGGACCCGCACAAGUAGUGGAGCAUGUGGUUUAAUUCGAAGAUACGCGCAGAACCUUACCAACACUUGACAUGUUCGUCGCGACUCUAAGAGAUUAGAGUUUUCGGUUCGGCCGGACGAAACACAGGUGCUGCAUGGCUGUCGUCAGCUCGUGUCGUGAGAUGUUGGGUUAAGUCCCGCAACGAGCGCAACCCUCACUUUUAGUUGCCAUCAUUAAGUUGGGCACUCUGAAAGAACUGCCAGUGAUAAGCUGGAGGAAGGUGGGGAUGACGUCAAGUCCUCAUGGCCCUUACGUGUUGGGCUACACACGUGCUACAAUGGUAUCUACAACAGGAAGCAAGACUGCGAAGUUAAGCAAAUCCCUAAAAGAUACCUCAGUUCGGAUUGCACUCUGCAACUCGAGUGCAUGAAGCUGGAAUUACUAGUAAUCGUGGAUCAGCGUGCCACGGUGAAUGCGUUCCCGGGUCU